Molecule: long non-coding RNA, 775 nt
Organism: Leptinotarsa decemlineata (Colorado potato beetle)
Lineage: Eukaryota; Metazoa; Arthropoda; Insecta; Coleoptera; Chrysomelidae
Source: RefSeq, a predicted model, not a curated record
GAACUUAAAUCACGACGGAGUUUUAUCGUGUUAUUGAUGAGCAAUAAGCUAGAAAUUCGUCAAUACAAUUAUUAUCGCAGAUGAAUACCGGGACUGUUUUCAAAAAUAGUUUUGAAGAAAUACGAAGACGUAAUUGAUGUCAAAUCGUAAUCAGGAGAAAGGUCAGAAUUAGUAAAUAAUUAUCAGAUAUAUUUGAACUGCCAUCCGUAUGUUCCAUGAGUAAACUAUAUCUCCUUUAUUUUGUGAUGUUAGUAGAUACAAGAGUUCCAUUCGCGUGAUAGUGUGAAUAAGACGGAGAAGAAGAAAACACGUGAAUUCGAAAUUUUGAUCUUUUCCAUUGUGUUGAAUAGCAAAAUGAAAAUCUCGUGUAUUAUUCUCGUAGCGCUUCUAGCAGUUCAGUGUCCAAAUACCUUCGGAAGAAGAAUUCGUCAUCCUGAACCAGAAUCGAUAGCUGAAAGACCAUUCGAAAAACAAGAUUGCUUCAAGGACACUCAUGGGGGUCAAAUGGUCUGUAUGGCCCUGAUGUAUCGUUACAAGUGGAGUGAACCAGAUCAGGACUGCGUGAAGGCUAUAUAUGGAGGGUGUCAUGAAACCAAAAAUAAUUUCCACACAGUGGAUCAUUGCCGUGAAGUAACGUUUCCUGUAUGCAAAUCAAAUAAAAAAUAAUGGAUGGAAUAGGAAAGUUAUUCAAUGAAAUGUUUAUUAUAGAUUAUUCGAUGUAUUAUGAAAGUAAAAAUAAAGAAACUGCCUCAAAAUGCUAGGGUCAAAUUCAAAA